GUCCCCACAGGUGUGGUCAACAGACAACCAAUAUGGCUGACUUGGUCUGAACUCUCUUGGAAGCUGCUGAGGUGGUGAGUCCUCCAUGUGAGAGGGCUGGUGGCUGGGCAAAGAGUUCUGGAAGCCACCGAAGACCGUCCAGAGGCAUGUCCAGAGAGCCCAUCAAAAAACCAGUGGGGAGGUCAGCAUCUGCCUCAGCCUGACCUUGAUUAGCCGUUCCCCGGGCUCAGAGAGCCAAGCCAUGCCCAAGUGCUCCCUGGAGGACGCCUGACUGAUCCAGCUCCUCACUGGAGAUUCUUUGGAGAAGAACCAAAAGACUAGACUGUGGCCCAAGGUCCCUGAGGCCUCACCAUCUGGGGAGAUUAGAAUGAAAGAAUAUUGUCAAUGGUCUCUGUCUGGAUCCAGGGUCUCCAGGUUCUCAGCAUCUUCUAUAUGGAACUGAAGAAGCACAUAGAAAUAUCAUAGUAGCAAGCAGUUUUAUUCCAAGCCAAAAGGUAAGUACAGGUUAGAUAUACUGCAAGAGA
RNAcentral lists this long non-coding RNA (524 nucleotides) under Mus spicilegus (steppe mouse). RNAcentral describes it as "lncRNA (ENSMSIG00000014369.1)". Lineage: Eukaryota; Metazoa; Chordata; Mammalia; Rodentia; Muridae. The record is from RNAcentral.